UUUUUGACUAAUCGGUUAAAAAAGUGUUGCGUCAUGAAACAAGAGACAUCCUCUGUUAUUCGUUUGGAAUUAGGGCGUCUGUAGGCGCUGAUUCUGAUUGGAAGUAUGUUACGCAGUGAAUUAAAUUUUGUUGCUUUGUCUCAAUCUCCUCCCAGUCCUAUCCAUUAAGAGGAGAGAAUGCAUGCAGCCAAAUUGUUCAGUAAUGUAACAUGUGAAUACUCUUCUCAAGUGAGCAACAAAGGUGGGAGUGAGUGCUCUCCAAAUGUACGAGAAACUUGAAACUGGAGGUCUCUGUCACCUUGGUUCUUUGUUAUACCAUAUAUGGAAUGCUUUUUGAUUCAAGCGGCACAACUAGAAUAACAGCCAUAAAAACUCUACAAAUGCACAAACCAGGGUGAAGCUAUCGGUGGCCUUUCAAGUUCAGCAAGAGCCACCCCGUCUUUAACAAAUCCAAAGUAAAAGAAAAUCUGCUUGUUAUAGUAGCCAUUGAAUUAAACCCAACCAACCACCACCCAGAUGAAAAUAAUCGUAGAGUACAGAUAUCUUAUAAACAACACAAGUAGGCUACCUAAUUCCUGAUAUUUUGUAAACUAGUAUCACGUUAUUAUUUCAUUUUAGUCUAGAAGGAAUUGAUGUUGUCAUAACCAAGAUGCUUAUUUACUAGUAUUUUUUUAAAGUUUUAA
Long non-coding RNA from Glycine soja, 683 nucleotides. RefSeq lists it as uncharacterized. The transcript has 3 exons. NCBI's taxonomy places the organism in Eukaryota, Viridiplantae, Streptophyta, Magnoliopsida, Fabales, Fabaceae. The record is from RefSeq and is a predicted model, not a curated record.